Molecule: long non-coding RNA, 4869 nt
Filed under: Nicotiana tabacum (common tobacco)
Lineage: Eukaryota; Viridiplantae; Streptophyta; Magnoliopsida; Solanales; Solanaceae
Description: long non-coding RNA (NTAB_LNC003184)
Source: RNAcentral
UUUACUCAAGAAAAAUUAUAAGAAUAUGUAUUUAAUCAUAGGCAGACAGAAAUGCAGAAGCUGAUUUUGAAGUAAAUACAUACCUUUUAGCUUAUUGAAAAUCCAUUUUUUUGCCUCUUCUUCAAUAGUGUUCGACAAAUUCUCAAUAGAGCUGAAAAUUGAUUGUUUCACCAAAAAAUAUGAUGGACCGCGGACGGACCAGCGACAGGAACUCGAACCGGAAUCAACCUCAGCUCAAACGAAACUCCAUCUCGCCACUAGUGAACGCACAAGUUAAUCCCACAGCAAAGGCUAAAGCAACCUAAACAACCCAAAAAGCAAGAAGUUGACUAGAUGAUUCUGGUACUAGUAAUACAACGGACACAAUGUAAUGAAGGGAGUAAUUAUAAGAACAUUGUACAGUGCUUAUCCUGCCCCUGUUUCUGUCCGUCCGUUUCCUCUCUUUUUUUCCAGUGUUUGGGCGUUUUCUAGUUGAGAAAUGGAGAUGAAGGCCUGGUCUUGUGGGAAAUAAUGUUCAAAACAAGCUAUCUAGUAGCUAUCUCAAAUGUCACUACCCAGUUUAAAUUUGUUAAGCCCUUCAAGUAUAUUAGACAAACAUAACACUCUGGAGAUAUAAGUUUAAUUCAGAAAACCUAUCCGUUGGUCAUUAAUCAAAACAUAGAAGCAGCUAAUGGCAGUGAUGAUAUUAAACCGGACGGAUUCAGGAGAGGAAGGCAUCCUGCACUCACUGCUAGCAUUUUAAGCAUUUUUGCACCUUAUUUCCAGUCAGAAAACAUGCAAUGUUGACAACAAAAUAAUAAGGCCUAUUUCUGCGACUGUGCAUGUGAUCGCAAAUGUGUUUCAUAACAGGGAGAUCGAUAGGGAAUUAGUUGAGUUGGCUAUAUGAGGGUGGUGAACAGUGGCGUAUCUAGGAUUUUAAGGUUAUGGGUGCUCACUUCCUUUAAUAGAAAGGUGCUAUCAAUCGCAUAGUAUAAGUGCACAAUUAUUCGAAUGCAAGAGUAAAAGACUUAAUAUGAAAACUACUAAUAAUAUUUUCAUUACCAACAAAUACUUUUAGUCACAAGUCAUAAUGAACUAUUAAUAGUAUUAUCAUUACCAAAAGGACUUCUAGUCACAAUUCACAACUGUGAUCGACGACUUUUUAUAUGUUGAAAACGAUGAAUAAUGGCAUCGUUGCUCACAGUUGAGAAUAUCUUACGCUCUACAUAGCAAACUAAACAACUGUUUAAAAAUUCAUCACCUAUGCUAUUACGAAGCUCAUUUUUUAUGUAGUUCAUGGAUGAGAAAGCGCGUUCCACAGAAGCGGUAGCAACAGGAAGAAUGAGAGUCAACUUGAUAAGUAAAUACACCAGUGGCCAAGUUUGAUGCAGGUCUGACUUAACCAAUACUUUAGAAAGGUCACUAAUUCCCUUCAUGUUGAAGAACCUCUUGUCAUGACCACGAGCAUAAACUACAAAACUAUCAAGCUGGAAACUAAGAUCCCGAAGCUUGUUGCUAUCAAACUCAUUGGGAUAAUAUUCAGCCAACUUCAUUAUCCUGUUCUUAUCAAAAUUACCAAAUGAAUUAAGUGGAUUUAAACUAGCCAUACCGAGAAGUAAGUCAGUACUCAUGGCAUCAAAACGACUUCUAAGCUCUUGAAGAUGCAAAUCGAUAACACCAUUAAAUAUCUCAACAUGCAAGUGAUGAGAGUAUGUAACAUCAAGAGCUCUACGCUUUGACUUCCCAGGAAAAUAGAGAGCAUCCAUCUUCGGGAUCAUUAUCUCAUGUUUAUCACAGAAUGAAGAGACAUCAUCCAUUAAUGAUUGAAAUUCACUAUUCCUCAUCCUUUGUAAUCUUUGCUUUGUAUGAGUGAGGAGUCUCAUAGCAUUGACAAUAUCUUGAUCCAUCCUUUGUAAUGAGGAGCUCAAAUCAUUUGUCAUCAUUAGAACUUUCCACAUCAAGUGCAACAUAAAAACAAAUUCAAAUUCCUUAAUCUUAGUCAUAAAGCUUUCAGCAACAAGUCUAUCGGCAUAAUUUGGACCCUCACGAGCAACAAAUUCAAGAACAUGAAUAAUUGAUGAAAAUAGGACAAUGAGGUUAUUUAACGUUCUAUAAUGAGAACCCCAACGAGUAUCACCUGGUUGUUGAAGCCCACGUUCUUGAUUUAGUCCUCGUCCAGUAUGCACCUCACCUGAUAUGAGCAACUCCUCUAAUUUUUCAGCUUGAUGUUGUCGAAGCAAAUCCUUGCGCUUAAAAGAUGAUCCAACAAUAUUUAACACAUUAGUAACUAUACAAAAAAAGUCAUCUACAUCUGAAUGCUUCUUUGCAAGAGCCACAAGUGUUAACUGCAAUUGGUGGGGAAAAUAAUGAAUGCAAUACGCCGAUGGAGUUUCAUUCAGAAUCAAAGUCUUAAGACCACGUAGCUCUCCCUGCAUGUUACUAGCUCCAUCAUAACCUUGCCCACGUAUUUGAGAUGGACUUAAUGAGUGAUAUGAAAGAAAAGAGUCGAUUUCCUUCUUCAAUGAUUGAGCAGAUGUAUCAUUGACAUGAACAAUACCAACAAAUCUCUCAAUUACUUCGCCUUCUUUGUUAACAUAUCUCAAAACAAGUGUCAUUUGCUCCUUGUGUGAUAUAUCCUUUUAUUCAUCAACUAGUAUCCCGAAAAAAUCCCCAUCCAAGUCUUCAAUGAUAGCUUUGAUUGCUUCUUUGGCACAAGCAUCAACAAUAUCUUUCUGAAUCAUUGGGGAACACAUCAUUUCAUUUUUUGGAGCAUUUUCUAAUAUAAUACUUCCAAUAUCCGGAUCAAUAUCUCCAUACCAUUGCAAGAGUUCAAGAAAGAUACCUCUAUUUGUAGAAGAUUGACUCUCAUCGUGCCCACGAAAUGGCAAUCCUAGUCUCAAAAGAAACCUAGCCACAUCGAUUGAAGCACUCAAGCGACGUCGAGACUCACUUUUUUCUUUCUCGGAUUGCUUUUCAAAAGAAGUGCGAAUUGAUUGUGAUUGAUUCAUUAAAUCAAUCAUCCUAUUGAAACACUUGUUGUGGAUGCUAUUUACCUCUCCAACAUGAGCUCAAAAUCUUUCUAUAGCCUUGUUCCAACCUUUAAAGCCAUUUUUUGUAAAAGCAUCCCCCAUAUUUCCAUGAAUUACAUGUUCAUUUUUGAAUAAAUAACAACACAAACAAUAUGCAGCAUCUUUUGAUAUACUGUACUCCAACCACUUUGAAUGUUGAACCUUAAACCAACCAGGAUAAAACUGACGCAUUGUCUUCCCAAACUUAGUUUUAGGAAAAUCAUGACUCGUAGGCUGGCAAGGUCCCAUUUGAAUAUAAUGUCUUCUAAGUUCAUCUCGUAUAUUAGGGCUAUAUUCUGCAAUGGACUUCCUAUCCCCCGGGUCAGUAUUGGGAGAUCCUAAAUUAUGAUCUGAAAGAGAUAUAUCCCUUUGAAUUUCCGGGGCUACGGAUGACGCAACAGAUGAAUGAGUAGAACUAGAACUUGGUUGCCCAACUUUUGAUCUUGUGACAAACUUAUCCAUCUCGACACAAAAAAUUGAUGAAGAAUUCCUACAAACAAGAUUUAGUUCAAUUUAAUUUCAUCCGAAAUUUACUACACAUAAUUUAAUUAAUUUUUAUCGGGAAAACCAUGCCCCUCAAUCAACAACACAAACAACACGGCAAUAACAAUAUAACUAUUUAAUUUUUCGAAAGAAAAGAUAAAAACUUACAAAUUUCUGAAGCAAUGAGUUGAUGAGCACAAUUUCAUCAAUCGCACAACCCACCAAUAUUACUAACCUGCAUAUAUUCUCAAAAUUAAGUUUUGGAAUCAAGCAAGUUGGUAACAAAGAUAAUAUUUUUCAUUGAAUCUGCUUUCAAAGAAUAAGCUAUAAGCAUGAUAAAAUUCAAAAUACUUCUAAGAAUAUUUUUAAUUUCUUACUUUAAUAAAAACACCAAAUCUUAUUACCUUGUGCUAUGUUCUGAUAAUCUGAUUUUGAGAUUGUUGUGAAUGACCGGAGAGUUUGCUGAUUGUUUCGUCUACUUUGUUCUUCGUUUUUCCCUUCUCUACGUUCCUAAUGAGCAAAAAUUCAAGAAGGGUUUAGUUUUAAACUUUUCUGUAAGACUGUAAAGAUGGCCUUUCUUAUACUUAAAUCUAAUUAAUUAUUAAUAUAAUAAAGCCUAAAGGUGAAAGGAAGUAGGAAAAGGAAAAACUAAAAACUAAAAAAGGAAAAUUUAGUUCAAAAGCAGAGAAAGGUUAAAAACUAAAAAGAUAGGAAAACGUAAAGGGAAUACAAAAAGUUAAACUAAAACGUAAUCUGACAAUCUAAACUAAAACCUAAAGGGAAUAGGAAAAGUUAAAAACUUUUCCAUAAAAGACAAAAAGCUGACAUUCAAAAAUAUAAAGGCAGUGCUGUGACAGGAAUCGAACCUGGGUCUUUGCUUUCAGAAAAGGUUUUAACUCCCACUUCAGAACCACAACACCCAUCAGUCAUUUUGUUUAUUGGGUGCUCACUAAAAUGUUAUAUCCUAUUUCUUAUAUUUUUAUUAUAGCUAUACCUAGUUUACGUCAAGGUUAAUGGGUGCUUGAGCACCUAAAACUAGUAUGUAAAUCCGCCCCUGGUGGUGAGAGACAGCGGACGGCGAAAGAUGUGGCUUUGAGAGGAGUAACGGCUGGAGGUGAUCUCUCUAGGUUUUGGUUCUGAAGAAGAUGGGUGGGGAGCUGGUUGUUUUGGGAGUUGCGGCUAGUUUUGGUGUUGGAAGUUGGAGAAGAGAUCAGGGGUCGUUUAGUGUGAGGUCGUUCGUGGAGGAUGGCGACUGUGGUGAUAUUUGCUUAGGAGUUCAGGGGGUUGUGGGCGGUUUGAAUUUUGGUGCGAAGAAGAAGACGUUCAGGGGGGUCUCCUA